RNAcentral lists this ribosomal RNA (433 nucleotides) under uncultured bacterium. RNAcentral's name for it is "partial 16S ribosomal RNA". It matches the Rfam family "Bacterial small subunit ribosomal RNA", at positions 29 to 507 of the family's 1533-position model. The record is from RNAcentral.
AACGAACGCUGGCGGCAUGCCUAACACAUGCAAGUCGAACGAGACCUUCGGGUCUAGUGGCGCACGGGUGCGUAACGCGUGGGAACCUGCCCUUAGGUUCGGAAUAACUCCCCGAAAGGGGUGCUAAUACCGGAUAAUGUCUUCGGACCAAAGGUUUAUCGCCUUUGGAUGGGCCCGCGUUGGAUUAGCUAGUUGGUAGGGUAAAAGCCUACCAAGGCGACGAUCCAUAGCUGGUCUGAGAGGAUGAUCAGCCACACUGGGACUGAGACACGGCCCAGACUCCUACGGGAGGCAGCAGUGGGGAAUAUUGGACAAGGGGCGAAAGCCUGAUCCAGCAAUGCCGCGUGAGUGAUGAAGGCCUUAGGGUUGUAAAGCUCUUUUACCCGGGAUGAUAAUGACAGUACCGGGAGAAUAAGCUCCGGCUAACUCCGUG